GGAGAGCGCUGUGGAAGCGGAGUGCUGAGGUGCGAGUGUCCGGCUUACACAGCCUCGUCACCCGGCUCCUCACCGAAUUUUUACACGUACUUACCGGCUUUGUAACCGUUUAUGUUUCAUUCAACCGAUAUUUAAAAAAAAAUGUCGAAAUAAUGAACUGAACUCGAAUGAAAAAGUGGAGACUACAUUUUUGUCACGAAGCUCGCGGGUGCGACGACGGAAAAGGCGGCUUUAAACACGUCGUCGAACCGUUACUCUUCUGAGCCUCUGGCUCAAAAACCUUCCUCGGAGGUGCGGGGCAGUAACCCAUGCUGGGGCACAGGUGCUGAAUGCUCGAUGGAUGUCCAUGGACCCAAGGUCUGCGCAGAUCGAGACUGUCCAGCACUCUUUGGCAUCUCAAGGGUGUUAAAUCAGACAGCUCCCUCUACCCAUAACACACAUUUACACUGCCCAGUGGUGCCGUGUAACCACCACACCCUCACAUGGUUUAGCAUGCCUGCUGAGGCCAGGUCCCGGGGUAUGGCUCUUGGAGCCACAUGUGAGAGAAUUGGAGGAUGGAGAAGGACCAGUGUACCCAUCCUUCCUGAUCAGGAAGCAGCAGCCAGGUUACAAAGGUGCUAUCUCUCUCCAGUGCUACCCACUGUUUAAUUUUUCACUGUCCCACUAUCUCAGGUCAGGUUUUAAGGUACACUGAAUGUAAUUGUACAUGUACCACACUUUGUAUCCAUAUUAACACAGGAUAAAGAGAUCAGCAACUAA
Molecule: long non-coding RNA, 759 nt
Organism: Trichomycterus rosablanca
Lineage: Eukaryota; Metazoa; Chordata; Actinopteri; Siluriformes; Trichomycteridae
Exons: 2
Source: RefSeq, a predicted model, not a curated record